RNAcentral lists this long non-coding RNA (2186 nucleotides) under Homo sapiens (human). RNAcentral's name for it is "non-protein coding lnc-LBH-4:1". The record is from RNAcentral. Lineage: Eukaryota; Metazoa; Chordata; Mammalia; Primates; Hominidae.
CACUAUCAUGGAGGGAGGAUGGGUUUGUAGAGUGUCUUAGGAUCAAAGCCUGACACUAUGUGUCAUUGUGUGUCACUGAGCCCCUCAAUAUAUCCACUGGGGUUUGAUCGAAAAGGAAGAGCCACUAUGAGUGAUAUAGAAUGAAGACAUUUGGGGGAAUUAGACCUUACACAAUUGUGGGAGCUGAUUCAACAGUCUGCCCAAUGCAGCUGUUGCCAUGUCCAGUGUUGGUCCUAAGUCAGUAGAGCCAGCAGUUGGAAAGGAGAGAUGAGUGUGAAGAGGGGGAGAGUAAGACUAGAUUAGAACCCAUGAAGACAAACUGGGACCCUGGAGGACAAACUGGAACUCACAUUUGUCUCACUCUCUUUCAGUGAUGCAAGUGACCUGCAGGAUUCACUGGUGCCCCACAGAGCUGCACAAGCUGGCCCAGGAUUUGGAGAAGCAGAAGAUUCGACAACUUGGAGGUCCUUGGGCUAAAUGGAGGAGAAGGGUAUACAGAGCUGAGAGCCAAGGAAGCCGAUGAGGAAUUGCACUUGGGUGUGGAGAACAAAACUACGUGGCCAUUGAUUGACUCAGGAGCUCUGCUGGAGGUGCCCUUGGCUCCCUGCAUCUUAAUCCUGGCCUGAGAAUGGUCAGUCUACUUGAGGGCCAGUAAUACGAUCUUAAACCUUCAUGACUUACGCCUCAGAGACCUAGUGCCGCACUUGACCCACAAGAGGACUCUUGAACACCAGCUGUAACAUCCACCCCUUUUGCUUCUGUUGCCUCUUCUGGGAGCCCUGACGGGAAAACCCAGUGAGGUUGAGGAUACAGGGGUUUGUGGGAGACCUCCGUCUCUGGAACGAAUCCCCCACUCCUCCAUCAUGCCCACCACACUGGCUGCUUGAUUUCUCUGCCACACUCUAGCUUUUCUCUCUGAAAAACAACUUGCCAGUAACACAGCAAGAAGGCUCAGGGCUCUGAACUAUUGUGUGCAUCCCAGGUGGACUCAGUCCCCAGAUGGAAGAAGGACAAGUCUCCAUCUCAGAGACAGGGAGUGGGAAGGUAACUGGAAUUUUACCUGUGCAAAGUGCCCUACAUCCAGGUGAUAUUUCAUCCUGCUCUGUUCCUUCGUAAAGGUCUCCAGCGAGCAGAAGGGUUCCAUGAGCCUUACUCCUCUGGUCCCAGGCCUUGCCAGGCACAUGUUGCUUUUCCCUGGGAGUAGGGCUGGGCACUCCUGCCUCCCCAUGCCCAUCAGCCAUGGGGUUCCCUUUAAAGGCUCUGGAUUGAGCACAGUCACCUCUAAUGGGACCAUGGAGGACCAGCCCAGCAACCUAGAGCUGCUUCCCAGGCUGCCUGGGAAUCAUUUCAUUUUCUAUUUGCAGAAUCACAGAUGUUGACUUUUGAUCUCUUCCUCUCUCCCUUGGGGGCCUCAAAUCAGUGAUGACAGCUAUUUCAUUUCUUUUUAAUUUUUUUUCUUUUCCCUAUAAAGAGAAAAGGUCAGAAAGGGCUCAGAAAGGUUUUGAAAAUAUUGGAAGAGCUACAUACUGGCUACUGGAAUGCAAAAGAAAAGCUCUAGCCCUCUCUAUGGAAAGCUCAUGGCAAUGACCAGGCAGAGGCUGGGGUGGGCACUCUUUAAGGCAGUAAUGUUAACCUUUAGUGUGUCUGUAAAUCAUUCAGGAGUCUUGUUAUUAAUACAAUGCAAAUUCAGAUUCAAUAGGUCUAAUGCACUCCCAGGCAAGGUCCAUGCUGCCAGCCCAGAACCAUGCUUAGAGGAACAGGUGCUGAGUUUCUUCCUCACCUCCACCUUGCCCCAGUCCUGAAUCCUGCAAUCUGUAAAUGCUCCCUGCUAUCUUCAUGCAGUUGAGUCUUAACAGGCAAGAAGCCAGCCAAGCGAGAAUCUCUCAGCAGACACUUUAAUCAAAUUAAAACCCACAUUUAGAUUUUUAUCACUUUUGAUCAUUUAAACAGAAGAACUUUCAGAUAUAUAUAGAUUUCCAAAGAAGGGAUCACAAGAGGACACUCAGGUGAGGGGUGGGGAGUUGGUGGCAGUGUUGGGGGGGCUUUCUUCUCUCACCCCAUUCUAUCCCCUUUGACUUAUUCAUUUCUUUUAAAUAGCAUUUGGCUCAACUAUUAUGAUCUUAUGCUGAACCUUUUGCCAUCCCAUGAAUGGGCAAGCCUCUGUAUACCCAGUGAAAAUUACCUUU